Molecule: ribosomal RNA, 500 nt
Filed under: uncultured bacterium
Lineage: Bacteria
Description: partial 16S ribosomal RNA
Rfam family: Bacterial small subunit ribosomal RNA
Source: RNAcentral
AUUGAACGCUGGCGGCAGGUCUAACACAUGCAAGUCGAGCGGUUGAGGGUAGCUUGCUACCCGAUGCAGCGGCGAACGGGUGAGUAACGCGUGAGAAUCUGCCCAGUAGUGGGGGACAACAGUCGGAAACGACUGCUAAUACCGCAUACGCCCUACGGGGGAAAGGGGGGGAUCUUCGGACCUCUCGCUAUUGGAUGAGCCCGCGUCGGAUUAGCUAGUUGGUGAGGUAAAGGCUCACCAAGGCGACGAUCCGUAACUGGUCUGAGAGGAUGAGCAGUCACACUGGAACGGGGACACGGUCCAGACUCCUACGGGAGGCAGCAGUGGGGAAUAUUGGACAAUGGGGGCAACCCUGAUCCAGCCAUGCCGCGUGUGUGAAGAAGGCCUUAGGGUUGUAAAGCACUUUCAGUGGGGAGAAAAGUGAUUCACCUAAUACGUGAGUCAAUUGAUGUUACCCACAGAAGAAGCACUGGCUAACUCUGUGCCAGCCGCCGCAGUAA